Canis lupus familiaris (dog) is the source of this 479-nucleotide long non-coding RNA. RefSeq lists it as uncharacterized. The record is from RefSeq and is a predicted model, not a curated record. Lineage: Eukaryota; Metazoa; Chordata; Mammalia; Carnivora; Canidae. The transcript has 4 exons.
CCUGACAGUAAUGUAACACCGUGUGUCAACUGUAUGCCGAUAAAAAUAAAACAAUAGGAGCAACAACAAUACAAAAGAUGUGCUCAUGUUAUCUCUUGCUUUUGCAUGAAAUUUCACAACUUCUAGAAGGUCUGAAGACUUCUGGACAUGUGGGAACUUCUCAUUCUUCUAGAUUCUCAGAAUGGUGCCACUGGCAGAUGGACAUGCAUUGGAAAAUACCUCAGCAAUACUUCCUUAAAUCUCCCCAUCAGUGUUGGUCCAAUGUCACGCUCUAAUUUUUUGUGCCACUGCAGAUACCAGCGUCCUAAUUUGGAACGUGGGAGGAUCGUGAGUGUUGAAUGCCACCAUCAGAAGGCUGGGAGGGGAAGUCUGAGGCGUGCCGGGCAGGCUCUGCUUUACUACCCUGGAGAAUAGUAGAAAGCGUGUGAAAUGAAGGCCCCGAUGAACCAAGAGCUCCUCAGAAUGUGACUGUUUCAUUA